AACCAAUCGCAGUCUGUUCUCUAUCAUAGAAGUUUUUAUUUAAAAAACACGCAUUCAAACGCUGUAUAGUCGCUAACAGAGACCACAAGCAUCUGGAACCUCAUAGGCGGGAAUAAACAAUGUAACGCCGACAACUGCAGUUUAAUAACUAUAACAGAAGUUGUCAAAAAUCUUUAAAGGGAAUGUCAAUAAAAGAAUCGUAUUGAGUAUAUAGCAGAAACAUCUGUCAGUUACAACGCCUACGGAGAUUUGUUCAAAAAAAAAAAAAAAAAAAAAGUAAAAACGUUUAAAGAAACAAGGCGAACGAGAAGAUGGUUUCCACAACAUAUAUUGAUGUAAUUAGCAAUACACAUGAGAAUUCCACACUCCAAUAUAAAAUACUUCUACUUAUUAAAUACUUAUUUUUAAAA
Long non-coding RNA from Hydra vulgaris (swiftwater hydra), 410 nucleotides. RefSeq lists it as uncharacterized. NCBI's taxonomy places the organism in Eukaryota, Metazoa, Cnidaria, Hydrozoa, Anthoathecata, Hydridae. The record is from RefSeq and is a predicted model, not a curated record.